Mercenaria mercenaria is the source of this 1419-nucleotide long non-coding RNA. RefSeq lists it as uncharacterized. NCBI's taxonomy places the organism in Eukaryota, Metazoa, Mollusca, Bivalvia, Venerida, Veneridae. The transcript is spliced from 3 exons. The record is from RefSeq and is a predicted model, not a curated record.
GGGAGGGGUCACUUAUAUUAUAGCUACAUUAACAUUUUUUUCAGAAGGGCUCUCAUGUUAUUACUGAUACAUUUUUAUUAAAUAAAGCAUGUGAUCCAGAUCAUUUUACUCAGGAGUUUUAAUGUAUAUAUAAGUUACUACAAAAUUAAUGCUAACUAAAAAAAAUCUUUCAUCAUUAUACAUUAUGUUAUCUACGGUGAAACUUUAUAUAACUAAGAAAAUGACCACUGAUACUUUCCCAUUUAUUGAUAUUGAGUUGAAUUAAUAUUAAUUAGAAAAUAGUAUGUUCCAAGUGGUGAUUUUUUUUUCAUAAAAUAAAAUUGUUGUCUGCAUUUCAGAUAUUUCCUCAUAGCUGAUCACUCCACUGUAACAAACCUAUAUUAUCAACACAUAUAAAUGUAUAUUUCAGAUUGGUACUUGAAAGUCAAUGGUUUGAUCAUGAUGACCAUCUUUAAUUUAAUGGGGAAAGAUUAACCAAUAUUUGCAGCUGGAGAGGCUAUCACCACAGUUCAAUGAUUUAGUUAAGACAAUGAAAUAGAAGAACUUCAUGCUAACACUUGCAUCAGUGGAAGUACUUCUUAUUGGAUAGAGAACUUUACAAGGUCAGCCAUCAGCUUGUGAAGUUGCUUUCUUGGCACAUCAUGCUGUCCAGUGGAGUUCAUACCAUAUGCCAGGCCUUUAUACAUGGUCAAAGAAGAUGAAUUUGUUAUUCAAUUUGUGAAAUUUGAUUUAAGGAGGACUUUCAUAUAUGAUGAUUAUAUUCAGCAGAUUAUCUUCAAGUGUGCACUUCAUAGAAUCACAGUUUCUAGGAGGUUUUCAGUUUAAAGUUAGAUUAAUUGAAAAAAAAGUAAAACUAUCAUACUCACCAUGGCAUCGGCAUUGGCAUUACACCAGUUUUAAGUUUUUCUUACCAGUCCAUAUUUUCAAAUGACCUUUUGAAAGUAUUGAAACUUACAACAGUAAUUUAUCAUCAUUAUACCAUGUUUUAGGCAAAAGUACAUCACUCCAUCAAGGAAUUGACUGAACUAUGGCCCUUUGAAACUUUUGUCACUUGUUUAUAAUAAUAGUCUCUAUAGGCAAGAGUUAAUAACACUAUAGAGUAAUUUGGUUGAAUUAUGUCCCUUUUGGACUUUGAAAUUGGUUCAGUUUUUGUACAAGUCCACAUUUUGACAUAUAGCUUUGAAUCUUUCAACACUAAGUCUUACCAUUACAAUGAUAUAACUUAAAAUAGUUGUUAAACAUCAUCACCCACAUCAUAUAACACAAGAUGCAUAACUCUUGCACCAAAAUUUAAUAAAUUAUGCCCUUUUUUGCUUAAAAUGUACUUGUAUAGUGUUUUGAUACACUUUAUCUUUAUCUCUCAUAUUACAAAAUUUUUUAAAACAGACUUAGUUAUAUGCAAUAUCUUCAUCAGCCAUU